This 515-nucleotide ribosomal RNA is filed under the name uncultured bacterium. RNAcentral describes it as "partial 16S ribosomal RNA". It matches the Rfam family "Bacterial small subunit ribosomal RNA", at positions 28 to 523 of the family's 1533-position model. The record is from RNAcentral.
GAUGAACGCUGGCGGCGUGCCUAAUACAUGCAAGUCGAGCGAAUGGAUUAAGGGCUUGCUCUUAUGAAGUUAGCGGCGGACGGGUGAGUAACACGUGAGUAACCUGCCCAUAAGACUGGGAUAACUCCGGGAAACCGGGGCUAAUACCGGAUAACAUUUUGAACCGCAUGGUUCGAAAUUGAAAGGCGGCUUCGGCUGUCACUUAUGGAUGGACCCGCGUCGCAUUAGCUAGUCGGUGAGGUAACGGCUCACCAAGGCAACGAUGCGUAGCCGACCUGAGAGGGUGAUCGGCCACACUGGGACUGAGACACGGCCCAGACUCCUACGGGAGGCAGCAGUAGGGAAUCUUCCGCAAUGGACGAAAGUCUGACGGAGCAACGCCGCGUGAGUGAUGAAGGCUUUCGGGUCGUAAAACUCUGUUGUUAGGGAAGAACAAGUGCUAGUUGAAUAAGCUGGCACCUUGACGGUACCUAACCAGAAAGCCACGGCUAACUACGUGCCAGCCGCCGCGGUAA